UAUUUUCCAAAUGAGAUUCAUUUUUGCAAAGCAUUGAGAUUCCAAGAUGGUAUUAGACGGCUCUCUUCUGUGAAGGUGAAAUUGACGCGAUUUCUAUUCGGUCCGCAUUCUUCCAGAUCGCUUCUAGAUCGUGAGUUUUCCAGUUCGCUACAGACAUGCACAUUCUCAGAUUGCGAUUUCUCUUCCAGCGACGACGUGUUUUCUGUAGAACGGCAGACGACGGCGAGUGUUGCAGACGACGACGAGUGUUGACGACGGCGAGUGUCCCUGUUCGAUCGAUUUCCAGAUCUCUGUAGAUGCGAUUGAUUUCCAGAUCGGUUCUUUCAGAGCGCGAUCGAUUUCCAGAUCGGUCAAAAUCGAAAUUUCCAUAUUGAAAUAUCCAGAUCGGUUUUCCUGCUUCAAUUUUCAGAUCGUGCACACGGAUUGCGGAUUUGCAAGGAGCAUUCGUGGAG
This 452-nucleotide long non-coding RNA is filed under the name Zostera marina. RNAcentral describes it as "long non-coding RNA (ZMAR_LNC002641)". Lineage: Eukaryota; Viridiplantae; Streptophyta; Magnoliopsida; Alismatales; Zosteraceae. The record is from RNAcentral.